UGCCUACGGGGCGCAGCAGUGGGGAAUAUUGCACAAUGGGGGAAACCCUGAUGCAGCAACGCCGCGUGAGUGAAGAAGGUUUUCGGAUUGUAAAGCUCUGUUAGCAGGGAAGAGGAAGGACGGUACCUGCAGAGGAAGCCACGGCUAACUACGUGCCAGCAGCCGCGGGAAUACGUAGGUGGCAAGCGUUGUCCGGAUUUACUGGGUGUAAAGGGAGCGUAGGCGGCCUGGCAAGCCUGAUGUGAAAUACCGGGGCCCAACCCCGGGGCUGCAUUGGGAAAUGCCAGGCUGGAGUGCCGGAGAGG
RNAcentral lists this ribosomal RNA (305 nucleotides) under uncultured bacterium. Its description in RNAcentral is "bacterial SSU rRNA". It matches the Rfam family "Bacterial small subunit ribosomal RNA", at positions 335 to 657 of the family's 1533-position model. The record is from RNAcentral.